This is a small nuclear RNA of Pteronotus mesoamericanus, 104 nucleotides long. The record is from RefSeq and is a predicted model, not a curated record. NCBI's taxonomy places the organism in Eukaryota, Metazoa, Chordata, Mammalia, Chiroptera, Mormoopidae.
UGGUUACUUCUUCAGCCUAUAUACUAAAACUGGAAUGCCACAGAGAAGAUUAGCAUGGCACUAUGCAAAACUGACAGACAAAUUUCUAAGUGUCCCAUUUUUUU